RNAcentral lists this ribosomal RNA (498 nucleotides) under uncultured bacterium. RNAcentral describes it as "bacterial SSU rRNA". It matches the Rfam family "Bacterial small subunit ribosomal RNA", at positions 30 to 534 of the family's 1533-position model. The record is from RNAcentral.
AUUGAACGCUGGCGGCAUGCUUUACACAUGCAAGUCGAACGGUAACAGGGAAAAGCUUGCUUUUCUGCUGACGAGUGGCGAACGGGUGAGUAAUACAUCGGAACGUGCCCUGUAGUGGGGGAUAACUACUCGAAAGAGUGGCUAAUACCGCAUACAACCUGAGGGUAAAAGUGGGGGACCGCAAGGCCUCACGCUAUAGGAGCGGCCGAUGGAAGAUUAGGUAGUUGGUAGGGUAAAGGCCUACCAAGCCGACGAUCUUUAGCGGGUCUGAGAGGACGAUCCGCCACACUGGGACUGAGACACGGCCCAGACUCCUACGGGAGGCAGCAGUGGGGAAUUUUGGACAAUGGGGGCAACCCUGAUCCAGCAAUGCCGCGUGAGUGAAGAAGGCCUUCGGGUUGUAAAGCUCUUUUUGUAGAGGAUGAGGAAGGACGGGUACGUCUCAGAAUAAGUACUCGGCUAACUACGUGCCAGCAGCCGCGGUAAACCUGUAGUCGU